Molecule: long non-coding RNA, 1286 nt
Filed under: Salmo salar (Atlantic salmon)
Lineage: Eukaryota; Metazoa; Chordata; Actinopteri; Salmoniformes; Salmonidae
Description: lncRNA (ENSSSAG00000106867.1)
Source: RNAcentral
GUGUGUGUGUGUGUGUGUGUGUGUACUUGUGUAUGUACAUGCAUGUUAAAACUCUACGUGGGGAACUUUACAGCAGUCACUACUUAUAUGCCAGUCUGAAGUCAUGUCCUGCUGAGGCAGGAGGCUUGAGUUCUACAGCUAGAUGGCUGGGUUAUUAAAACGGCUGCUGCUGUGGGGUUUUGACUAGGGAAGACACACUUUGGAAAUGACAGGCACUGGCAGAGGGUUUAGUAAAACACUGGCAGAGGGUUUAGUAAACACUGGCAGAGGGUUUAGUAAAACACUGGCAGCGGGUUUAGUAAAACACUGGCAGCGGGUUUAGUAAAACACUGGCAGUGGGUUUAGUAAAACACUGGCAGAGGGUUUAGUAAAACACUGGCAGCGGGUUUAGUAAAACACUGGCAGAGGGUUUAGUAAAACACUGGCAGUGGGUUUAGUAAAACACUGGCAGUGGGUUUAGUAAAACACUGGCAGUGGGUUUAGUAAAACACUGGAAGAGGGUUUAGUAAAACACUGGAAGAGGGUUUAGUAAAACACUGGCAGCGGGUUUAGUAAAACACUGGAAGAGGGUUUAGUAAAACACUGGAAGAGGGUUUAGUAAAACACUGGCAGUGGGUUUAGUAAAACACUGGCAGAGGGUUUAGUAAAACACUGGCAGUGGGUUUAGUAAAACACUGGCAGAGAGUUUAGUAAAACACUGGAAGAGGGGUUUAGUAAAACACUGGCAGAGGGUUUAGUAAAACACUGGCAGAGGGUUUAGUAAAACACUGGCAGUGGGUUUAGUAAAACACUGGCAGAGGGUUUAGUAAAACACUGGCAGUGGGUUUAGUAAAACACUGGCAGAGGGUUUAGUAAAACACUGGCAGAGGGUUUAGUAAAACACUGGCAGUGGGUUUAGUAAAACACUGGCAGAGGGUUUAGUAAAACACUGGAAUAGGGUUUAGUAAAACACUGGCAGAGGGUUUAGUAAACGGCACUUCUCCCCCUCUCCCCCACUAGUCACUCCUCUCUUCUCCUCCCCACUAGUCACUCCUCUCUUCCCCCCCACUAGUCACUCCUCUCUUCUCCUCCCCACUAGUCACUCCUCUCUUCCCCCCCCCACUAGUCACUCCUCUCUUCCCCCCACUAGUUACUCCUCUCUUCCCCCCACUAGUCACUCCACUCUUCCCCCCCACUAGUCACACCUCUCUUCUCCCCCCCACUAGUCACUCCUCUCUUCUCCCCCCCACUAGUCACUCCUCACCCUCCCACUAGUCACUCCUCUCUUCUCCCCCCCACUAGUCACC